Molecule: ribosomal RNA, 732 nt
Filed under: Odorrana sp. NHMG141104
Lineage: Eukaryota; Metazoa; Chordata; Amphibia; Anura; Ranidae
Also listed under: 2 other names
Description: partial 12S ribosomal RNA
Rfam family: Bacterial small subunit ribosomal RNA
Source: RNAcentral
CACCAGGCUAAGGAGCCGGCAUCAGACACAACCUCAGUCCACAACGCCUAGUCUCACCACACCCCCAAGGGUCAUCAGCAGUGAUAAAUCUUGAACAUAAGCGACAGCUUGACUCAGUCAGAGAAAAGAGGGCCGGCCAACCCGGUGCCAGCCGCCGCGGCUACCCCGUGGGGCCCAAGUUGAAGAUCAUCGGCGUUAAGCGUGAUUAAAGUCCAUUUAGAUUAAGAUCAAAUUAAUACUCAGUAGUUUAAAGCUCGCCAUUAAGAAGACCACAAACGAAAGUUAUCUUAACCCAAACACUUGAAUACACGACAGCUGGGAAACAAACUAGGAUCAGAUACCCUACUAUGCCCAGCCGUAAACAAUUAACUUACAUCCAUAAGCGCCAGGGAACUACGAGCCACGCUUAAAACCCAAAGGAUUUGACGGUGUCCCACCCCCCUAGAGGAGCCUGUUCUAUAAUCGAUGAUCCCCGCUAUACCCCACCACCCCUUGCUCGUCAGUCUGUAUACCUCCGUCGAAAGCUUACCAUGUGAACGUCUAUAGUAAGUUCAAUGACCCAUGCCAAUGCGUCAACACGUCAGGUCAAGGUGCAGCUUAAGAGGUGGAAAGUGAUGGGCUACAAUUUCUAAUCUAGAACAAACGAAAGGCCAUGUGAAAUCGUGGCCACGAAGGCGGAUUUAGUAGUAAAAAGAAAAUAGAGAUUAUACCAAACAAACCCACAAGCUUAAG